UUCUUUUUUUCUUCUUCUUUU
Molecule: small RNA, 21 nt
Filed under: Arabidopsis thaliana (thale cress)
Lineage: Eukaryota; Viridiplantae; Streptophyta; Magnoliopsida; Brassicales; Brassicaceae
Description: ATSL049610
Source: RNAcentral